UGCGAUCGUACAAGGGGGAAGCCAAGGGGAAACCCUAAGUCUAAAGAAUCUCACAAAUCUUACAAAUUGAAGGGAUUAAAAGCUGAAUUCUUGAUUCAAGAGUUAGGAAUUAGGAUCUCCUAACUAUAUUUGAUCUCAAGAACAAAGAAAGAGGAAUGAGCAAGUUACUCCAAGUCGUAAGGGACACAAGACCACGGUAAAUCCCGCUCUUGGCGAUGCGAGCUCGGACCGAACACACUACAUAGCCCUUUAUGCGCUUCCGGUUAAAGUCGUCUUUUGUAAAUGGGUCAAAACGUUUUCAUAAUGUAAAUGUUAAAUUUAUGUCUAGGAUGUUUCCUAAGUAAGUUGGGAUUUUAAAUCUUGUAUGGUUAUUACUUUUAUAUCUUUUGAAACAUGUCGUAGAAUGUAUUUUGGAAUGAUUUCAUUAUAAAGCAGGAAAACGUUUACUUUA
Molecule: long non-coding RNA, 451 nt
Organism: Helianthus annuus (common sunflower)
Lineage: Eukaryota; Viridiplantae; Streptophyta; Magnoliopsida; Asterales; Asteraceae
Exons: 3
Source: RefSeq, a predicted model, not a curated record